Archocentrus centrarchus (flier cichlid) is the source of this 769-nucleotide long non-coding RNA. RefSeq lists it as uncharacterized. The record is from RefSeq and is a predicted model, not a curated record. Lineage: Eukaryota; Metazoa; Chordata; Actinopteri; Cichliformes; Cichlidae. The transcript has 3 exons.
CAGCAGCUUCUGGAUCACGGCUGCCACCACUGUAUCGCCUGUGAGAGUAUUCCACCACUGAUGGAAUCACUUUGUUUCAGACUUACUCAACAGCCCUUGGACUUCACGUUCACAUUAGAAGGUUUCACAGAGUGAUGAGACCCUUUCGCUGCUUCGUCUGCAGAAAAACAUUUGGUCAUCAGGUGCACUUGGAGUAGCACAUGCAUGUCCACACUCAGAUGAAAAGCCUCACAGAGGACCAAUCUGAUAACACACCCAUAGAAGCUCCACCCGGGCAGUUUCAAACCCUUUGAGUGUCAUUUGCUUCCUACACUUUCGAUUGGCCCAGGCACCCUGAGCUCAGGUGUUUUCUUCCUGUAUAAAAUGUCUUUUUUUUUUUUUUAAACUUAAUUUUUAUUUAUUUUUAGCCACAAAUAAUGACAUUGUUCCAUAGUUACAUUCUUCUCUUGCAGUUGCAAACAUUCCACGUUAGAAAUUGGCGAGGGAAGGCAAGGUAACAAUAGAGUUGUCAAAGAUUAUGGCAAUGAACACAAUACAAUAAUAAAGGUAAAGUGACGAGAGAUAAAAAACAAAGCAGAGCAGGAAGAAACAAAACAACAGUAAAAGAUAAUUUUUUGAAUUCCUCUGGGGUAGGUUGGGUCAUGCAUUCUUGUUCUCAAUGGUAUUUUCCAAAAGUGUACAGUGCAUGCAAGGGGCAGGCCUCUGGGUAUAUUACUGUAUUAGUAGGGGCAUGACAGGGCUCCACCGUGUAUUAAAAUUUGUUUUUUGA